GUUCCAAGUUUGACUCAAAUCUA
Molecule: small nuclear RNA, 23 nt
Filed under: Arabidopsis thaliana (thale cress)
Lineage: Eukaryota; Viridiplantae; Streptophyta; Magnoliopsida; Brassicales; Brassicaceae
Description: snRNA_18721
Source: RNAcentral